GGCUCCCAAGGGGGGAGGGCGGGCGCCUUGCCCUCGGGCCCGAUCGGCCUCCCGUUCGUUCCCGUGGCUUCUGGACUCUUCUAGAUGUUGAAUAAUUGCAGUGCUCGUUAAUAUCUCUAUGUAAACCUGACGUGUGGGCCCUUCUUCCAUAUUUCCUGAUAACCCCCUGCAGAAAUAGAUAAACAACAAAACUCAUGGAAUUCUGUCAGAUCAAACCCUAAUUCUAGGUGUUGUUUGUAUAUUGGUCCUUUCCCUUAUUUAUUUCAUAGUUAAAAUUGAUACUUAAGAACCGUCAACAAACACCCCCAUACUUAGGCUUUUACUCAUCCUCGAGAAAAGGAUGGUCUAGAAAAAUAUCUGGGGUUAAAACAUUGCAAAGCAUUCUUCUUAUACCUGCAGGGUGUUGUAAAAAUCCACUGUGUACCGUAGUCAGGGUAAUAUAUGGUCAAGAGUAGAGGGCCUUUCUUCUCAAUCCUGUCACUUGGAGUUUUUGUAUAUUUUGAAAAGAAAUUCAGUAUACCUUUAUCCUCGUAGGUUCUCUCAGGUUGCUCAUUUAUCUUUUAUAUAUCUCACUGAGGCUGUUUUAAUUUGCAGAAAUUCUCAAUCAUACUUACCUUGCAUUUAUUGCCUGAUCAAAAUAGGAUCCGAGGAGAGGAAUGUCAUACUCUUAGAUCAAAGACUUUGGAAAUUAAAAACUUGUCAACUCUUACUGGCAUAUUGCUUAUUAGAGGGACCAUGGGCUAUCAUUUUUUCUUUCUUUUCUCUUCUUUUCUUUUUUUCAAGUGGAUACCGAGGUACCUCUAAUUCUACUACCGGACACUUGUCCAUUUUUUCUGCGAGGUUGUCGAGCACUUGCUCCUUUUUAUUUCCUUGAAAUAUUCAUAUUUUUGCAUAGCCCAUGCCUCUAACGCAAUAAUACUUCGGAAGAGUGAAUCUUGCUAAAUAAAUGUCUUGAUCUUAGGAGCAUGAUAAAUCUCUCAACAAGGGUCUAACUCGUUUUGAACAAACUCAAUACAGAGCAGAUAGCUUUUAUAAUAAUUAAGAUUUUCAGGUUUAGCAGGCAUAUAAAACAUUGAGGAUGGUAGCUAGAAUUUUUGAAGAUUUUGAAAUAAAUUCUCCAAGCAACAACGAUAUCAAGAAUAAGAUACUCAUACUCUACCAUCUCACAUUCCACUGUGACUUAAGUAACACAGGGUUUUCAAAUGAUUCUUAAUAAUUGCAAGUUUUCAGGAAAUAUCACAGAGUGAGAUUGAUCAUGAUUAGAAACAUUUUGAUCUUGUUAAUUUAUCAUGUCGGAGACAAUAUUCUGCAUGAACCAAGAUGUAUGUGCAGAGUAUGUACCUGAAUCAUGGAGUGGUGUAGUCGAAGUGCGUUUAGCAUGUCAGGGGAUCUCCCCUGUACUUGUUUUCUGCUUACUUGCAUAAAAAAUAAAGUAGAGACACACAAAACAUAAUAAUAAUCUUUAUUAAUCUUGAGGCAUUUAUUACAAAUGACUAGUAAUAAACUGAAGCUAAUAAUAGAUCUAAGCCGAAUUUAAAGAUAAAUAACUAAGAUAUACUGCCUCAAGAUAUAAUCUAGAUAACUUAGCGGCGCUCUAACUCACUAAUCUUCUUAUUGGCACUAGCAAGAUCAUGCUUAAGACCUAGUAUAACGGUGUUCUAGUUAGAGAGCUGCCUAUUGAUGGAGUUAACCGAGGACUGGAGCUCUAUGAUGACCUUGUCUAGCCUACGAACGUCCUCAUCUACAUCUACUAUAGUCUUGGGUGCUUAGGUGGUGUCUCAAGAGCGUUGAGGGCGUGCUUCAUGGCUGCCUUUGGAGGGAUGAAACGGACUUUGGCUGCUCUAGUCCCCUCGAAGUAAGGCCUCUCCUCCUCCGUAGUGUAGCGGAUGCUGUUGAUCUCGCUGGUCUGGCUGAUCUUGACUCCGACGACCCGCUCAUUGGGCCUGGGUGG
Molecule: long non-coding RNA, 1951 nt
Filed under: Sorghum bicolor (sorghum)
Lineage: Eukaryota; Viridiplantae; Streptophyta; Magnoliopsida; Poales; Poaceae
Description: long non-coding RNA (SBIC_LNC016160)
Source: RNAcentral